GGAAGGUUUUUCUUUGCGGCAGCGGCAAGGUGGAAUAAUGUUACUUACUUCGAUGGGGUUGUUGUUGGAUCUUAUGGUUACGAAUUUAUUAGGGUCUUUAAUGAAAAUAUGAUUUCGAAGAGAGAUCAGGAAGAAUUGAAUAUCCAGGAACAACGUCGUAAGGAAAUGGUAUCCAAGGCGAUGCAUGAUCUGGGUGUGUCAGAUGAAUGAACUAUGUUUUUGUGGGCAGACCAAACAAGAAAAAAAUUCUCUGGUUGUUGAACUUUUUUUGUUGUUAUAUAUUUGGAAUUUGCAAUAUAAGUCCUGGUUUAGAUGACAGUAUUGUUUCAUCUUUCUUUUCUAAAUUGAAAGAUUUGAUCUAGAUGAUAAGAAUUACAAUGUUAAUGCCAAAUUUUAUGUGAUGAUA
Camelina sativa (false flax) is the source of this 406-nucleotide long non-coding RNA. RefSeq lists it as uncharacterized. Lineage: Eukaryota; Viridiplantae; Streptophyta; Magnoliopsida; Brassicales; Brassicaceae. The record is from RefSeq and is a predicted model, not a curated record.